GCAGUUGUUCUGAAGUCUUGGAACGAGAACAGAACAACUUUGGAAGGAAAUGAUCACCAUCCCUCAUCAGCUGUGAGGCUGUUAAAGCUGGAAGAGGGUCUCGCUGAUCACCAGCAACAGAUUCCGGGUUCUAGGGGGUUCAAGGCUCAGAUCGGUGUCUGCUGGAGGGACAGCAUCCUGGGUUUCCCCAAUAGUGCUACCUAGAGACACCAGUUUCAGCAAACACAGUCCAGUACAAAGAUGGAUGCAUUCCUGGAGGACGAGGUUUCUUGAACAGUCUUUGGGUAAGCUAUAGCAGCCACACACACACCGGCCAGAAAGUUAGAGCCAUUAGCAACUCCAGUUGUUUGGCAG
This 354-nucleotide long non-coding RNA is filed under the name Cricetulus griseus (Chinese hamster). Its description in RNAcentral is "lncRNA (ENSCGRG00015034731.1)". The record is from RNAcentral. Lineage: Eukaryota; Metazoa; Chordata; Mammalia; Rodentia; Cricetidae.